AUUGAACGCUGGCGGCAGGCCUAACACAUGCAAGUCGAGCGGAUGAAGGGAGCUUGCUCCUGGAUUCAGCGGCGGACGGGUGAGUAAUGCCUAGGAAUCUGCCUGGUAGUGGGGGAUAACGUCCGGAAACGGGCGCUAAUACCGCAUACGUCCUGAGGGAGAAAGUGGGGGAUCUUCGGACCUCACGCUAUCAGAUGAGCCUAGGUCGGAUUAGCUAGUUGGUGGGGUAAAGGCCUACCAAGGCGACGAUCCGUAACUGGUCUGAGAGGAUGAUCAGUCACACUGGAACUGAGACACGGUCCAGACUCCUAAGGGAGGCAGCAGUGGGGAAUAUUGGACAAUGGGCGAAAGCCUGCUCCAGCCAUGCCGCGUGUGUGAAGAAGGUCUUCGGAUUGUAAAGCACUUUAAGUUGGGAGGAAGGGCAGUAAGUUAAUACCUUGCUGUUUUGACGUUACCAACAGAAUAAGCACCGGCUAACUUCGUG
RNAcentral lists this ribosomal RNA (484 nucleotides) under uncultured bacterium. Its description in RNAcentral is "partial 16S ribosomal RNA". It matches the Rfam family "Bacterial small subunit ribosomal RNA", at positions 30 to 507 of the family's 1533-position model. The record is from RNAcentral.